UAGAUUCUGGUGAAUUGUAGGAAAGCUAUCUUCUCAAAGUAAAGCCAGAAAAACAAACCCUGUAUUUAUAAGGAUUAGAACGGUUGUUAGGGAGUUCGCUCGAAAGAACUGGCACUUCGAUCAACUCUGUUAGAUCCAUCCAACCAAGGCACGUCUUCAUCAAGCUAUUCCUACCACUCAUCAAACUCCGCCAACUGUAGCUUUUUUCAGGCUCUUACUAAGUAAUAGAUUCUAUAUCACGAGGACAUCGAACCGUCGAAAUGGAUCCAGGUUAUCUACAGAAUGAAUCAGACAUUUCUUUCAUCCGAAGUAGGUGCCCGCCCACUUUAAAGAGCAUCUUUC
This 342-nucleotide long non-coding RNA is filed under the name Musa acuminata (dwarf banana). RNAcentral's name for it is "long non-coding RNA (MACU_LNC007192)". Lineage: Eukaryota; Viridiplantae; Streptophyta; Magnoliopsida; Zingiberales; Musaceae. The record is from RNAcentral.